UGUAGCUACCCUUCUCUCCUUUAAUUGCUCUGAGACCUCGUGUGAGAGCCUAAGCUCAAGGCUUAGAGACCAGGUGAAAAGCCUGGUUCAGUCCAAAUUGCUGAUGCACAGAAUCCUGAGCAAAUAAAAGCUUCUCAAGUGACCAUGUAUCAAGGAUUGUUUCAAAGGAUGGAGAGAAACUCACAACCAGCCUAUCCUUCUCUGCCAAAGAAAAAAAAAAGUACAAACAGGGCCAGUUUCAUGGUCAUGUGAACUGUACACUUUUAUAGGGUCCCAUGCUUGGUUUAACAAAUUCUGUAGUUAAUUCUGGCUACUAUCUAUAAUCUUUAUCUGUAGUUUCUUGCUAUUCACCCACUCCUUGUUAUCUUGCAGUCUGACUUCUCCCUUUAUGGUUGAAUAAGACCUCUCUCGGGUCAUCUACUGCCCUAUGGCCAGUUCCCAUGGUCUUUCUUUCAUCCUCACCCAUUCGCCCAUUUUAAUGUGCCUAAAGCAUUUGGCACUGUUGACAGACCCUACCUUUAAGUUUCCUCUUUGGUUUACAUGACUAUAUCAUGGUUUUCUUCUUAUCUCUGAAUUUGAUAAAGCCAAGUAGAAUAAUGCAAUAAAGUUAAUAGUUAUA
Myotis myotis is the source of this 619-nucleotide long non-coding RNA. RefSeq lists it as uncharacterized. The record is from RefSeq and is a predicted model, not a curated record. The transcript is spliced from 2 exons. Lineage: Eukaryota; Metazoa; Chordata; Mammalia; Chiroptera; Vespertilionidae.